This is a long non-coding RNA of Humulus lupulus (European hop), 293 nucleotides long. RefSeq lists it as uncharacterized. The record is from RefSeq and is a predicted model, not a curated record. The transcript has 3 exons. Lineage: Eukaryota; Viridiplantae; Streptophyta; Magnoliopsida; Rosales; Cannabaceae.
UACAGACUUUUCUCAUCAACCAAACACUUUUCCUCUCAUCAUUUUUUUUUCAUCCAAAACUACAUUUCAAUUCAUAUUGGUUUAACCCUGACUUAAGGGAGAUCUUUUAAGGCAUGGAUUUUGUAGAUUCAAAGAGGAAGAACAACUUUUCUGUCAGGAUCUUUUUGGCUGCUUUCCUUAUUAGUCUUUCAAUUUUCUGGAUCAAGCAGUCACCAAUUUUUAGUUCUCCCAACUUGUUCUCUAAACCAGAAGCUGGAGUAACACAUGUGCUGGUAACUGGUGGAGCUGGCUAU